This 461-nucleotide ribosomal RNA is filed under the name Veillonella atypica. RNAcentral's name for it is "bacterial SSU rRNA". It matches the Rfam family "Bacterial small subunit ribosomal RNA", at positions 28 to 466 of the family's 1533-position model. Lineage: Bacteria; Bacillati; Bacillota; Negativicutes; Veillonellales; Veillonellaceae. The record is from RNAcentral.
GACGAACGCUGGCGGCGUGCUUAACACAUGCAAGUCGAACGAAGAGCGAUGGAAGCUUGCUUCUAUCAAUCUUAGUGGCGAACGGGUGAGUAACGCGUAAUCAACCUGCCCUUCAGAGGGAGACAACAGUUGGAAACGACUGCUAAUACCGCAUACGAUCCAAUCUCGGCAUCGAGACUGGAUGAAAGGUGGCCUCUAUUUAUAAGCUAUCACUGAAGGAGGGGAUUGCGUCUGAUUAGCUAGUUGGAGGGGUAACGGCCCACCAAGGCGAUGAUCAGUAGCCGGUCUGAGAGGAUGAACGGCCACAUUGGGACUGAGACACGGCCCAGACUCCUACGGGAGGCAGCAGUGGGGAAUCUUCCGCAAUGGACGAAAGUCUGACGGAGCAACGCCGCGUGAGUGAUGACGGCCUUCGGGUUGUAAAGCUCUGUUAAUCGGGACGAAUGGUUCUUGUGCAAAUA